Molecule: ribosomal RNA, 503 nt
Filed under: uncultured bacterium
Lineage: Bacteria
Description: partial 16S ribosomal RNA
Rfam family: Bacterial small subunit ribosomal RNA
Source: RNAcentral
AUUGAACGCUGGCGGCAGGCUUAACACAUGCAAGUCGAGCGGGGUGAUGGUGCUUGCACUAUCACUUAGCGGCGGACGGGUGAGUAAUGCUUAGGAAUCUGCCUAUUAGUGGGGGACAACAUCUCGAAAGGGAUGCUAAUACCGCAUACGUCCUACGGGAGAAAGCAGGGGAUCAUUUGUGACCUUGCGCUAAUAGAUGAGCCUAAGUCGGAUUAGCUAGUUGGUGGGGUAAAGGCCUACCAAGGCGACGAUCUGUAGCGGGUCUGAGAGGAUGAUCCGCCACACUGGGACUGAGACACGGCCCAGACUCCUACGGGAGGCAGCAGUGGGGAAUAUUGGACAAUGGGGGGAACCCUGAUCCAGCCAUGCCGCGUGUGUGAAGAAGGCCUUAUGGUUGUAAAGCACUUUAAGCGAGGAGGAGGCUCUUUUGGUUAAUACCCAAGAUGAGUGGACGUUACUCGCAGAAUAAGCACCGGCUAACUCUGUGCCAGCAGCCGCAGUAA